UGUGUUUGAACCUUUUAUGGAAAGCGAAGCUUGGACAAAUAUUUGGUAUAAACUUGUUUGCAAUAAAAUUGUAUAAACCACAAUUUGUAAACGAUUCAGAUUAAACCACUAGCUGGAAAAGACGCCAAGCUGCAGAGGAAACAAAUGCUGCAUAUUGAUAAAAGCAGAACAUAUCAGUUGGAGCUGCAGAGGAAUCAAAACAAAAUACCUAAAGAGAAGAAAUGCAUGUGUCUCCACUAGCUGGAGAAGACACCAAGCGAAUAGAUUCACAAAAGGAGAAGACGAGCAGUGAGAUUCGCAAACUAGAUUGGCGAACUGUGCGAUUACAUCAAGAGAGGAAGUUGCUCUGCUCGAGUUUGGGGUUCCCGCGCUCUUGCGCGGUUUGGUGUUGACGGGAGGAUACGGAAUGUUAUUUUUGAUGAGAAUAACAGUUUUAAGGUGGUAUAUAAGUAAAUAUGAAAGUUUAGGUGUUAAAUAGUUAAAUAGACUUAUUUUAAGUGUUAAUUAUGUAAAAAUUCCAAAAUUAUAACACCGAAUACGGAAUUUAUCCCGAUAACAACGAAUACGGCAUUUAUCCCGAUAACAACGGAACUACUAGCUGUGCAGAGCGCUCAUGCUACUACCACGCGAGCAGUAGAGUCGAAUUGGAAGCUUCAAUUCAAAAAAUCGGAUGCGCGUAUGCACGACAACAACUUCCUGCACCCCUCGAUCUGGUUCUUUUAGAGUGACUUUCUUUUUCGCUGUUUUGGGAAUCUAGGGUUUGCCGAAACCAUCUUCACUCAUCUCGAUGCCAUGGCGAUGCCUGGGGUUGACUUCAAGUGGUACGAUGGGUUCUUCCUGUCUAUGCUAGCGACCAGCAUUAUAAUCGUUUCGAUCAAGUGGAAGCGGUACCAUCUCUGCGUGCAUCCUUUGCACAUUUGGAUUGUGGUGGACUAUUCUAUCGUGUUCAUGUUCAGGUUGCUGAUGUUUCUGGACAAUGGGCUUGCUGCGGGAAUGGGUUUGUAAGAACUUUCUUUUUUUAGCAAGUUCGUAUUCUUCUUUAAAUUUUCUUAAUUCACAUUUUGUGGAUCUGAAAUUACUGUGCUAUAAUGACCGCCAUAUUUCCUUUAACUGACUUAUAUAACAUUAAGGGACAACGCAUCAUUUCUUUUUAUGGAAAAUCGAAUUAAAUAUUUGUCAGGCUGGUACAUUUUGAUUACACUUGAUAAAUUAUUGCGAGCUCAGGACAAAACCUAUUUUUUCUAUUAUGCUAUUUAAAAGCCCAAAACUGAUAUUCUGUUUUGCUUUGACAUUUACCGGUAUAUACCACUAUCCACAAUGUUUAAGUUCGGCCAAGGAUCACCUGUGAAAAGUCCUCAGCAGGUCUGUAUUGUUGGUUGAAAUGAAUGUCAACUUGAAAGUGUUUUAGAAAUAAGUAUUUUAGUUAGCUUUGAAAGACUUUUGGGCCGAAGAGGGUUUAAAGCUGGACAUUUCAAAUCACCAAGCUGACUACCAAAAAUGGAUAAUUUUCUAGUUUCAUCUGAUAAAGCGCUCUUUGCCAGAUAUGUUGAAAUGGGUUCCAAUGGUAUUUAUUUCACAUUAAUUUGGCAAGACAUCUGAAACAUUGACCAAUUUAUUCCCUUAUCUACAAGGUGUUUGUUACAUGUCAAGCUUACAUCUUAGAUGUGAAAAUAUUUAUUUUGGUGUUUUAAAGAUGUGUUGGUUUUGAUUAAAUUUCUUCACUUCCCCAUUUUAUACUUUUGACUGCUCCAUUAUAAUUACAUGAAUGUGUUGAAUUGAUUACUCAUUUAGAUAGAUUUUUCUUUUCCUAUGUAAUAAAAUACAUUUUUUUUCUCAAAAUAAAUUUGGAUUCAUGCCGGGUAGGUCUACU
Molecule: long non-coding RNA, 1870 nt
Organism: Dendrobium catenatum
Lineage: Eukaryota; Viridiplantae; Streptophyta; Magnoliopsida; Asparagales; Orchidaceae
Exons: 4
Source: RefSeq, a predicted model, not a curated record